This 466-nucleotide ribosomal RNA is filed under the name uncultured bacterium. Its description in RNAcentral is "partial 16S ribosomal RNA". It matches the Rfam family "Bacterial small subunit ribosomal RNA", at positions 28 to 507 of the family's 1533-position model. The record is from RNAcentral.
GACGAACGCUGGCGGCGCGCCUAACACAUGCAAGUCGAACGAGCGAGCGAGAGCUUGCUUUCUCGAGCGAGUGGCGAACGGGUGAGUAACGCGUGAGGAACCUGCCUCAAAGAGGGGGACAACAGUUGGAAACGACUGCUAAUACCGCAUAAGCCCACGACCCGGCAUCGGGUAGAGGGAAAAGGAGCAAUCCGCUUUGAGAUGGCCUCGCGUCCGAUUAGCUAGUUGGUGAGGUAACGGCCCACCAAGGCGACGAUCGGUAGCCGGACUGAGAGGUUGAACGGCCACAUUGGGACUGAGACACGGCCCAGACUCCUACGGGAGGCAGCAGUGGGGAAUAUUGCACAAUGGGGGAAACCCUGAUGCAGCGACGCCGCGUGGAGGAAGAAGGUCUUCGGAUUGUAAACUCCUGUUGUUGAGGAAGAUAAUGACGGUACUCAACAAGGAAGUGACGGCUAACUACGUG